CGCGUAGGCGGUUUGUUAAGUCAGCUGUGAAAGCCCUGGGCUCAACCUGGGAACUGCAGUUGAUACUGGCCGACUAGAGUACGAGAGAGGGAGUAGAAUUCCACGUGUAGCGGUGAAAUGCGUAGAUAUGUGGAGGAAUACCAGUGGCGAAGGCGGCCUCCUGGCUCGAUACUGACGCUGAGGUGCGAAAGCGUGGGAGCAAACA
Molecule: ribosomal RNA, 205 nt
Filed under: uncultured bacterium
Lineage: Bacteria
Description: partial 16S ribosomal RNA
Rfam family: Bacterial small subunit ribosomal RNA
Source: RNAcentral